GGCAAGAUGGCCGAGUGGUUUAAGGCGUCGCACUUAAGUCGUUGGAACUCUUCCUGGUUUGGUUUAUUACAACCGGACUGGUAAUCGUUUGGCGGAAAUGCGAUCUCGUAAGAGGCGCGGGUUCGAACCCCGUUCUUGCCA
Aspergillus tubingensis CBS 134.48 is the source of this 141-nucleotide transfer RNA. It matches the Rfam family "tRNA". Rfam says of the family: Transfer RNA (tRNA) molecules are approximately 80 nucleotides in length. The record is from Rfam. Lineage: Eukaryota; Fungi; Ascomycota; Eurotiomycetes; Eurotiales; Aspergillaceae.